RNAcentral lists this ribosomal RNA (460 nucleotides) under uncultured bacterium. RNAcentral's name for it is "partial 16S ribosomal RNA". It matches the Rfam family "Bacterial small subunit ribosomal RNA", at positions 338 to 795 of the family's 1533-position model. The record is from RNAcentral.
CCUACGGGCGGCUGCAGUGAGGAAUAUUGGUCAAUGGGCGGGAGCCUGAACCAGCCAAGUCGCGUGAGGGACGACGGUCCUAUGGAUUGUAAACCUCUUUAGGCGGGGAGCAAUGCCGGGCACGUGUGCCCGGAGGGAGAGUACCCGCAGAAUAAGCAUCGACUAACUCCGUGCCAGCCGCCGCGGUAAUACGGAGGAUGCGAGCGUUAUCCGGAUUUAUUGGGUUUAAGGGGUGCGUAGGCGGAUUUUUAAGUCAGCGGUAAAAUGUCCGGGCUCAACCCGGGCCGGCCGUUGAAACUGGGGAUCUUGAGUGGGCGAGAAGUAUGCGGAAUGCGUGGUGUAGCGGUGAAAUGCAUAGAUAUCACGCAGAACUCCGAUUGCGAAGGCAGCAUACCGGCGCCCGACUGACGCUGAGGCACGAAAGCGUGGGGAUCGAACAGGAUUAGAUACCCGAGUAGUC